AGCAGGGUGCGGCGCAGCUGUCGGGAGGGCGCGUCCCCGUCCCCGUCCCCGCCCGACCGCCUCGCCCAACCCUCU
Bison bison bison is the source of this 75-nucleotide microRNA precursor. The record is from Ensembl. NCBI's taxonomy places the organism in Eukaryota, Metazoa, Chordata, Mammalia, Artiodactyla, Bovidae.